NAGGUUCUUCCCUUNCNACCUCAAUUGGAUUUUCACCAGUCAGCUUGCAGAAUAGCUUCCUUGCCUCUGUUGGAGUUAUGUGCAGAAAAGAUCCACCAGCAGCUACAUCCACAAAUAUCCUUUCAUUGCCUAGGAGCCCUUCAUAGAAGUAAAGCAAGAGCAUAUGCUCAGGGAUCUGGUGAUUCGGACAAGCUGAGCAAAGCCCGUUGAAUCGCUUCCAAUAUUCUGCUAGGCUUUCUUCUUGAAACUGCGCAAUGGCAGUAAUCUCCCUCCUAAUGCUGCUUACCUUUGCUGUUGGGAAGAACUUGUUGAGGAAUCCUUGUUGUGUUUCCUGCCAGCUAUCAAAAGGACGAUACCGCUGAUCUAGGAACUAGUCUUUUGCUGCACCUUAAAGAGACAUUGGAAACACUUUCAUCCGUACUUUCUCCUCUAAAACACUAGUAGGCCUCAUGGAUGAGCACACCCAACUAAACUCCUUGAGGUGCUUGUGUGCAUUUUCAUGUGCCAGCCCAUGGAACUUGGGAAGCCUCUUGAUCA
Molecule: long non-coding RNA, 537 nt
Filed under: Vigna radiata
Lineage: Eukaryota; Viridiplantae; Streptophyta; Magnoliopsida; Fabales; Fabaceae
Description: long non-coding RNA (VRAD_LNC007894)
Source: RNAcentral